CGCGGCCUAUCAGCUUGUUGGUGAGGUAACGGCACACCAAGGCAACGACGGGUAGCUGGUCUGAGAGGACGAUCAGCCACACUGGGACUGAGACACGGCCCAGACUCCUACGGGAGGCAGCAGCAGGGAAUCUUGUCCAAUGGGCGAAAGCCUGAGACAGCGACGCCGCGUGGGGGAUGAAGGCCUUCGGGUUGUAAACCCCUUUCAGGAGGGACGAAAUUGACGGUACCUCCAGAAGAAGCCCCGGCCAACUACGUGCCAGCAGCCGCGGUAAUACGUAGGGGGCGAGCGUUGUCCGGAAUUAUUGGGCGUAAAGGGCUCGUAGGCGGUUACGUAAGUCGGAUGUGAAAACUCGAGGCUCAUCUUCGAGACGCCAUCCGAUACUGCGUUGACUUGAGUCCGGUAGAGGAGUGUGGAAUUCCUAGUGUAGCGGUGAAAUGCGCAGAUAUUAGGAGGAACACCUAUUGCGAAGGCAGCACUCUGGGACGGUACUGACGCUGAGGAGCGAAAGCAUGGGUAGCAAACAGGAUUAGAUACCCUGGUAGUCCAUGCCGUAAACGGUGGGCACUAGAUGUGGGGACUUUCAACGGUUUCCGUGUCGUAGCUAACGCAUUAAGUGCCCCGCCUGGGGAGUACGG
This 638-nucleotide ribosomal RNA is filed under the name uncultured Actinomycetes bacterium. RNAcentral's name for it is "bacterial SSU rRNA". It matches the Rfam family "Bacterial small subunit ribosomal RNA", at positions 232 to 885 of the family's 1533-position model. Lineage: Bacteria; Bacillati; Actinomycetota; Actinomycetes. The record is from RNAcentral.